This 206-nucleotide long non-coding RNA is filed under the name Olea europaea (common olive). RNAcentral's name for it is "long non-coding RNA (OEUR_LNC015020)". The record is from RNAcentral. Lineage: Eukaryota; Viridiplantae; Streptophyta; Magnoliopsida; Lamiales; Oleaceae.
GCUUCUCAAUGCCCAAAUAAACGGGUAAUGGUUUUGUUGGAUAAUGGAGAGGUGGUGAGUGAAAGUGAAGGAGAGUUUGAGGACAUGCCUGCAUUGGAGGAUGUUGAAGAAGAAGAAAAAUUGGAGUUUGCUGUUGGGAAAUCGUUGGUGUUAAGGAGAGCUCUUAACACUCAAGUCAAAGUGGAUGAUUCGGAGCAACAGCGAGA